CAGUCGCCACGGUAAUACGUAGGUGGCAAGCGUUGUCCGGAAUUAUUGGGCGUAAAGGGCUCGCAGGCGGUUUCUUAAGUCUGAUGUGAAAGCCCCCGGCUCAACCGGGGAGGGUCAUUGGAAACUGGGAAACUUGAGAGCAGAAGAGGAGAGUGGAAUUCCACGUGUAGCGGUGAAAUGCGUAGAGAUGUGGAGGAACACCAGUGGCGAAGGCGACUCUCUGGUCUGUAACUGACGCUGAGGAGCGAAAGCGUGGGGAGCGAACAGGAUUAGAUACCCGCGUAGUCCCUGUCUCUUAUAC
RNAcentral lists this ribosomal RNA (301 nucleotides) under uncultured bacterium. RNAcentral describes it as "partial 16S ribosomal RNA". It matches the Rfam family "Bacterial small subunit ribosomal RNA", at positions 509 to 807 of the family's 1533-position model. The record is from RNAcentral.